CCCUUAGAUGUUCUGGGCCGCACGCGUGCUACACCGAGUAAUUCAAUGGGUAAGGGAACGCUAGAGCAUUACCUAAUCUUGAAAUUUGCUCGUGAUGGGGAUCGACGGUUGCAAUUUUCCGUCGUGAACGAGGAAUACCUUGUAGGCGCAUGUCAUCAUCAUGCGCCGAAUACGUCCCUGCCCUUUGUACACACCGCCCGUCGCUCCUACCGAUUGAGUGAUCCGGUGAGGCUCUGGGACCUGGACGGAAAGAGCGUUUCGCUUGUUCUGUUUGGGAAACUUGGUCGAACCUUAUCAUUUAGAGGAAGGAGAAGUCGUAACA
RNAcentral lists this ribosomal RNA (322 nucleotides) under uncultured eukaryote. RNAcentral's name for it is "partial 18S ribosomal RNA". It matches the Rfam family "Eukaryotic small subunit ribosomal RNA", at positions 1470 to 1796 of the family's 1831-position model. The record is from RNAcentral.